GUCCCUGUAGUGCAAUGGAUAGCGCAAUGGACUUCUAAUCCAAAGGUCGUGGGUUAGAAUCCCACCUGGGAUG
Non-coding RNA from Trichonephila clavipes, 73 nucleotides. The record is from the annotation of a GenBank genome assembly. NCBI's taxonomy places the organism in Eukaryota, Metazoa, Arthropoda, Arachnida, Araneae, Nephilidae.